CCCCUUCCUCUUUAUUCCCUAUUUCCUCUCCAAUCUCUAAAAUUCCCAACUUAUAGGCUUUCUGCCUCUUUUUUACCUCUGAGAUUCGUCCCUCCGGUAAGACCCGCUGCACCGCCGCCGUCUUCGAUGCACCACCGGCCUCUCCAUCCCAGGUAUGUCCCUUCUUUCUCCCUCUCAAUCCUUCUCUCUUCCCCCUCUCUGCUUAUUUUCUAUCUCUCUCUCUGUCUGCCCCCUCUUGGUCUCUCGCUCAUCUCCCUCCCUUCCCUCUGUUGGCAGCCGCCGCGGACCACUGUGGCGUGAGCAGCGCCGGCGGUCGCGGCCGUCAGUCGCACCCCACCGCGGUGGCUCGCUGCUGCAGCUGCUGCCCUUCUCUUCUUCUCCUAUUUUUUUUUAUUUUUCUUUAUUCAUCUAUUAGCCCACGUUUGGUUGGGUGUUUUUAGAGGUUGGAAAGGGAAUCAAGUAAUUAAAUCCAUUACUUAUUGUUUGGUUUGGAUAAUGAGAUAAUCAUUACGGUAAUCCAAUCACUCAAUUUGUUACCCCUCAAAAUAGAGGGAAAACAAAAGAAAGAAAAUCUCUUACUAAUGAUUCCUUUCCAUUAAACCAAACACUCAAUAAAAGUAAUGGUUAUUGUUACCAUUUCACUCCUUUAUUUGAUUCCAUUCUCUUUUCAUUUCUCUACUUGAACCAAACGAGCACUUAAAAUAUAUGGCGAUCUCAUAAAUUGGUGCUCAUCGAUGAACAUCGCCAGUUGGAGGCGUCAUUGGUUCGAUGAGAUAGCCUUGCUUCUUAUUACUGUUGUUCGAACUUUCUAUCUUUGUAUUUAUUCAGGAUCUCUUUGACAAAACUGGAAUUUCUUGUAAAUAACUUAUUCGAUCUAGAUGCUAAGAAAAAUUGGUGUUAUUGCUUGAUAUAGAUAUUGUCCAUUUCUUGUGUU
Molecule: long non-coding RNA, 934 nt
Filed under: Salvia miltiorrhiza (redroot sage)
Lineage: Eukaryota; Viridiplantae; Streptophyta; Magnoliopsida; Lamiales; Lamiaceae
Description: long non-coding RNA (SMIL_LNC012440)
Source: RNAcentral